RNAcentral lists this unclassified non-coding RNA (219 nucleotides) under Tomentella alpina. Its description in RNAcentral is "partial internal transcribed spacer 2". RNAcentral also lists the same sequence under 1 other name. Lineage: Eukaryota; Fungi; Basidiomycota; Agaricomycetes; Thelephorales; Thelephoraceae. The record is from RNAcentral.
ACACCUCAACUCUCAUGGCUUGCCCAUGAUGAGCUUGGACUUUGGGGGUCUUGCUGGCCUGUGGGCCGGCUCCUCUCAAAUGAAUUAGCUUGCCAGUGUUUGGUGGGCAUCACAGGUGUGAUAACUAUCUACGCUUGUGGUCUUCCGCCAGGUAAUCUUCAGCAAUGAAGGUUCGCUGGAGCUCAUAAACGUCUCUCCUUGGUGGGGACAGAUUUGACC